GACUAAACUGUCUCUUAUAGGCAUUCAAUGAAACUGAUCUUUCAGUCCAAAAGCUGAAAUACCAUCACUAGACGAGAAGACCCUGUGGAGCUUCCAAACCAUUGCCAACUCCUAUGACUUUACGGUUUUUAGUUGGGGCGACUUCGGAGAACAAAAAAACCUCCAACUAGGAAACUUUCCUAAUUAAGAUCUACAUAUCUAAAUACUUAACUUGACCCAGUGGGCACUACCUCCAUCUGAUCAAGGAACCAAGUUACCCCAGGGAUAACAGCGCUAUCCUCUUCUAGAGUCCCUAUCGACAAGAGGGCUUACGACCUCGAUGU
RNAcentral lists this ribosomal RNA (323 nucleotides) under Ophisops occidentalis. RNAcentral's name for it is "partial 16S ribosomal RNA". It matches the Rfam family "Bacterial large subunit ribosomal RNA", at positions 2009 to 2532 of the family's 2925-position model. The record is from RNAcentral. Lineage: Eukaryota; Metazoa; Chordata; Lepidosauria; Squamata; Lacertidae.